GACGAACGCUGGCGGCGUGCUUAACACAUGCAAGUCGAACGAAGAGCGCUGGAAGCUUGCUUCUAUCACUCUUAGUGGCGAACGGGUGAGUAACGCGUAAUCAACCUGCCCUUCAGAGGGGGACAACAGUUGGAAACGACUGCUAAUACCGCAUACGAUCUAACCUCGGCAUCGAGGAAAGGUGAAAGGUGGCCUCUAUGUAUAAGCUAUCACUGAAGGAGGGGAUUGCGUCUGAUUAGCUAGUUGGAGGGGUAACGGCCCACCAAGGCGAUGAUCAGUAGCCGGUCUGAGAGGAUGAACGGCCACAUUGGGACUGAGACACGGCCCAGACUCCUACGGGAGGCAGCAGUGGGGAAUCUUCCGCAAUAGACGAAAGUCUCACGGAGCAACGCCGCGUGAGGGAUGACGGCCUUCGGGUUGUAAAGCUCUGUUAAUCGGGACGAAAGGCCUUCUUGCGAAUAGUGAGAAGGAUUGACGGUACCGGAAUAGAAAGCCACGGCUAACCACGUG
This 510-nucleotide ribosomal RNA is filed under the name uncultured bacterium. RNAcentral's name for it is "partial 16S ribosomal RNA". It matches the Rfam family "Bacterial small subunit ribosomal RNA", at positions 28 to 507 of the family's 1533-position model. The record is from RNAcentral.